GGGCACUUGGAGCCCAGGGCAGGGUUCACAGAGCUAUUUUCAGUUCUCUUGCAGGAUCUCCUUCCCAGCCUUCAGAAAUUGCCGGUCUGGGAGUUGGGGGCAAGGAGAAGAUCCUGAAUUAGACCUUUACGAGAAGCACAGUUUUGUCUUCAGUUUCCUCUCCCCCCACCCGGAAUGGCCUGAGCCGAAGCCAGCUCCCUCCGAGAAGUCAUUACCGCCUGACUUGCGUUUGAUAUUUAGACACCUUGGUCACAACAUCUUGCAUUCUCUCGGGAUGCUGAUUUCUAACUGCUCUUUGGCCUUUCCUGCAUUGGUCCUCCUCAGGCAGGGGAUCCCUGCUCUUCUAUAUUAGUGAGAAAACCAAGGCUCAGAGAAACUGUGGAUUUUCUAAGGAUGCUGGCUCCCCGUCCCCUGUCCACCAUGAGUCAAAGCAAUGUGAGUCCCUCACCAGAUGCAACUGCCCAGUCUUGGACUUUCCAGUGACCAGAAUCAUGAGCCAAAUAAACCUCUUUUCUUUAUGAAUUA
RNAcentral lists this long non-coding RNA (525 nucleotides) under Homo sapiens (human). Its description in RNAcentral is "SMAD3 divergent transcript". The record is from RNAcentral. Lineage: Eukaryota; Metazoa; Chordata; Mammalia; Primates; Hominidae.